UUUGUUUUAUCUGCAAAACACAUUGAGUAAAAAUGGAAGGUACAUUGAAAAUGACAUUGAGGUUUUUGGUAUUUUUGGUUGUUAUUGUGAUGAGCCUAAUGGGAGGUGCAUAUGGAACAAGCAGUGAAGUUAGUACGGAUUAUCAUAACACGGUACCAACAUGUUAUAUGUUAUGCUUAUGGAACAAGAAUUGUUGUCCCCCUCCUCCCGCUUCCAUAAAAUUUUAAAUUUCUUUUUCUCUUUGUUUAGUUUACAAUAAUGCUCAUGAGUUUGAGAAAGACUUAUUUUAUA
This 291-nucleotide long non-coding RNA is filed under the name Cicer arietinum (chickpea). RNAcentral describes it as "long non-coding RNA (CARI_LNC000408)". Lineage: Eukaryota; Viridiplantae; Streptophyta; Magnoliopsida; Fabales; Fabaceae. The record is from RNAcentral.